Molecule: ribosomal RNA, 393 nt
Filed under: uncultured bacterium
Lineage: Bacteria
Description: bacterial SSU rRNA
Rfam family: Bacterial small subunit ribosomal RNA
Source: RNAcentral
AGCGAAUAGAUACCCGGGUAGUCCACGCGGUAAACGAUGAAUACUAGGCGUAGGUGGAGUGAAAUCCAUCUGUGCCGAAAGCAAACGCGAUAAGUAUUCCGCCUGGGGAGUACGGCCGCAAGGCUAAAACUCAAAGGAAUUGACGGGGGCCGGCACAAGACAGCGGAGCGUGUGGUUUAAUUUACGAUGCAACACGAAGAACCUUACCCUGGGUUUGGUACAUCUGCGUAGUAGUGAACUGAAAGGGGAACGGACUCUUCGGUAGAGCGCAGACAGGUGCUGCAUGGCGUGUCGUCAGCUCGUGUCGUGAGAUGUUGGGUUAAGUCCCGCAACGAGCGCAACCCCUACUUGCCAGUUACAAGUGUCUGGCGAGACUGCCGGUAGAAAACCGGA